GAGUAAUAGAAACACUGUUUCAUUUCUUCUCUUUAUAUGAUUUCUCUAUGAUGCCUGCCUGGUGCAAAGAGUGUAUAAAAAUGAUUGCUGGUUAAAGAGGUACAGAUUUCUACUUGUAAUUAUAUUUUGUUCUCUAUUGAAAUAUAUUUCUAUUUUCCUGAUAAUUCGCACUGUGGUGAAUAAUCCUGUUAGUGUUUAGUUACUUCUCUCAUUCACUUCUUUAGAAACUCCCUGGCCAUCCCACCCCACCAUCAAAUAAAACAAGAGCAGUUAUUUUUUUAAUUGCAGUCACGUUUAUUUGCAGCUUCUAUACACACUUUCUAUGUAAUCAAACUUUUCUGACACAUUUUUGAGGGGUUCACAAAAGAAAUUGUCACCAUUUUUACUAAAAAAUAAAUACAAGACUUAAAGUGUUGCACAGCUCUAAAAUAUACAAAGGCUUAGAUUUAAUGUAAACUCUGAAAACAUUUUACAAAAGAAACCAUCUUUGCAACAAUUUAAAAAGUUCAUAUUUACAGAUAUUACAAAAAUACAAAUGGAUGCAAGUCCACUAACCAUAGUCGUUUCCUCCCACGAGUGCCAUACUUACAUUAAAAGAGUAACACUGUAAUCUCUUUUCUGUAUGUUAUAUCACAUCAACCUUUCUAAGAUAAGUUGUAAAUUGUGAUUCAACCCUUCAGUGGCUAUUGGACUAGCAAUGCAUUGGGGUCUAUGCACUAAGCUUCAAGUUAUGGUGACUCUAGAAUACUUGCAAAUUUAAAGCCAAAUUAGCAGAGUUGGCAGUAAUAUUCAACUAAGCUAGUUUAGCAUACAUUUCUCAAGAUGUGUUUAAAGUCACUAGAACUUGCUGUUUAGUUAAUAACUCUCAGUGUAACAGAAUGCACUUGAUUGCUUAACUAGUGGGUAUUAAGACAACUUGCUUCCAGCAUCUGGCAUGAAAUCGGUCACUAAUGCAGCAAUUUAUACCGCAAACCUAAUGAUUUGGCAAGUACUUUUCUGUUCACUAUUCCUUCUCAUCAUAAACCUGCUUAAACAUAAAGUCAAAUAGAAAUGUUAGAAGGAAAGGAAAAAACAGUUAUGUUGUUAAAAAAAAAUUAUUUAAAAAUCUGUUUCAUCAGUGCAAACAGAACGUUAAUUUCAAAGGAUGGUGAACAAGCUUGAAAUAGGCAGUCACUGGGAAUCACAAGCAUGGGUCCAGAGCUCUUUUAUACGUUGUCUACUUUGGGAAUAUCUCAAGACUUGACUGCCGUGACAGAUUUGCUCCAGUUAAGAUCCAAAACACUUAAAUAUGUUUUUCAAAGGAACACUCCACAGCCCAAAUACAAAAUAAAUUAAAAAUUACUGUUUAGUAUAUACACCCAAAAUGAAAACAAGCAUGCAUUUAAUUAUAAUUUUUUUCCCUUGGGGGUAUAUCUAAAAAAACAGCUUGAAAAAGGUGCAGAUCUCUUGUAUUCAGCAUUUGCAAGCCCUCCUCUUUUUUCUAAUCACAGACUUCCCAAUGCAGCUCAAUGAGACGUCUUUGCAAGUCAGGUGCUCUGAGCAAUUGCUGCCUCAUGAGUUUAGCUCCACUGAGCUAACCAAACCAAGAGGUAACAGCACCUGAUGUCAAGGGGGUGUAAUCAGAUUAAUUUAUAAAAGUGUCAACUUCUAUUGAAAUCAGAAUUGUUUUUUUUUUAAAUCACACAUAGAGCUUUCCAGCAAGCUAAAGUGCUUUAGGGGUCUGGAGUGUCCCUUUAAUUGUUGAACUUUUCCUAGUUUUGUGUUAAAGGAACACUCCAAGCACCAUAACUAUUACAGCUUGCUGUUGUGUUUAUGGUGCCAGGAGUGACACAGAGACAUCCUACGGUAAUUUGUCAAACUGUUUUAGUAUACUUGGGUCCCCAUGACGCCCAUGCUGCAUCCCCUCUUCUCCUGCAGGAGAAGCAGGAUGUCUCAUGACAGCUAAGCAUGGCCAAUGCAGGCCUGUGCUCAUUGGCUGAGAGUGCUUAGCUCAUACUUAAUGCAGUACUGCAUGGUCCUGUUUAGCUCAGUAGAGGAGAAUCCUAAAAGCAGUUAAACAAAUUAAACUGGGUUAGCAACAGGACACUGCUGAUACCAUAACCACUACAAUUGGUUGUUUUACUUGGAGUGUUGUUUAAAGCAUUGUUAAAAGAGAUUUGCUGAGAAUAAAGACAUUAAAAUAAUGUCCAUAUUUUUGUUUAUAUUUUCAAACAGAAUUCCUACAAAGAAUUUCUUAAAAACGAUGCUGCUAUCAUUACCUAUAUGGCUAGAGGAUUUGCGGUUUGUACUUGAAGUCUAAGCAAAAGGAACUGAAAUAUGUUUCUCUUUAACUGGGUAUGUUCUAACCUGCAAUGUUAUUGUUUGCCUUGUUUAUGAAGUUUAUUCACUAAACUGGAAAUUGUGAACAUUUUUAUGGGAUUAAACAUUUUAGACAGAAUUUGCAAAAAUCUUCAUGUCAGCUUUUUUUCUAGAAAUCUUUCAAUUCACCAGUUAAUUGUCUACAAUUCCUAGUUUAGUGAAUAAACUCUGUAUAUUUUCAAAUAUACAUUUGUCGAUUUUCAUGAAUGCAUGUACCCCAUGAAGGAAUAUUUUCAUAAGCACACUCAAGACACAAUGUUAUUAAGCACCUUGCACCUCUCCGUGUCUUGGUCUCUGCUAGGAAAAAAAAUGUACAUCUUAUGGUAUAUUAUGGAAGCGUACUUAAAGCUGCCCAGUGCAUUACGGCAUAAGUUUUCAAUACAUAUGUACUUGGCAUAUUUGAAAAGCAAUAAAUAAAUACCAUAUGUCAAUAUAAUUAUGUUAAGUCGAACAUUUUUUCUGUAUGAUUAUUGACCCCACCUCUCAAAAAAGUACCACUAUAGGAUGAUGUCUUCUCUGGUUUCAUUAUGUUACUAGCUUUAUUUCUGCUACUUAGGUAAAUAAAUUGAAUUUAGCACUACCACAGUUAGUUAUAUUCACAGUAAAGGGCUGUUAAGAUAGAGCUUGAAAACUCUCUCAUAUUUUGAACUUGAUUCUUGAAACAGAACAGUCAAAAACAAACAUUUAUAUGGCACUUGCAUGGAACAGAAAGUUUAAUUGUGCUACUUAAGGCUGUGCUUAAACAUAAAAUUCAUUAUAAAAGUGUUGACAGCAAAUUGCAUUAACAAUUAAUAGUCAAAAUACUAUUAGAACUCUUGAAAAUGACCAGUGUUUUAGUUAGAUUUCGAAAUCAUGGAGAUUAGCAUCAGAAUUUAUAAGGUUAUCACUUGUCCUUGAUUUAUGUGUGAUGUGAGAUGCCCUGCAUAAUAUUCAGAAGGGUAAAAGCACAAAGUGAUACCGCAAGUAAUGAUUACCUUGAUUUGCCACAUUAUCCUUUAGCACCAGUUUUGUACCUGUCAAAAUAAUGGUGUCAGUGAUUUUUAUAAUGUACAAAAUAUGUAUUAUAAGGCCUGUUAAACAGAAUAGUUUAGGUAUCAUAACAUUUGAGGAAGGCUAGCACCUUUCAGUAUGAGACACAUACCCAACCAGUUGGUCCACACACACACACAUACAUAUAUAUGUAUAUCAAAAGCAGUCCUGUGCAACACUCGUGCAAAUGGACUACUGAGUGUGCAUAAAGAUGAUGCACACAUAGGAUCUAACCAAGUGCUUACUAAUGACAAGUUGCACCAUAUUUCAGAUGACAAUUGUGGCCAUUUGAGGAACUGAAAGAUGUAAAAACUAAAAACAAAACGUUUGUGUUGUUUUAAAUUCUAUAAAUCAAACCUGGGGGUAACAACUGUUAAGUAGUUAAGUGUGUGUAGUAACAUUAUCAAAGGUAGUGAGGCAGAGAAGUAAUUAACAUCACGCAAAAUAUUGCAUAUUUAAUACUUAUAUGAGCUGAUUUUCUAAAGCAGAAAAUAACAUUUCAGUUAAAUUGCAGGCUGGGUAACUACUGUUUCAUCUGGUUAUCACUUUAAAAAUAUUAGUAUGGAUUAAAGGGACUCUCCAGGCACUAGAUCAUUAGUGGUGUUUUGUUGUUUUUGCACGCUCAAUCUUGUAUACAUUUUGCAAACACUACAAUAAAUGUUUGAAAGCACACUACAAUUUAACCCUGCCUCGUUUAUGCUCAGUCUCAACUUUCCCAUUCUAAAAUAAUUCCUUCUUGCUUGUUACUAUAAACAAUCUGUUGCCUUGAAAGAACUCUAGUGGCAGUCACCCAGAAAGCCACUAUGGGAGCUACCUGUCUCAGUGCAGUACUGUGUGAGUAAAAUCACAGAGAACUAGGGCAGACACCUAAACAGCCAUCCCAGCACUAUAAUAUAUACAGGUUUGUAUUACUAACACUAUAGUGUUCCUUUAAAUGAGUAGCAUUGUUUUCCACAUAAAAAGCAUGCAGUAACUUGUUCUCUCAUAUGAACAGUUUUUGAGGGAUGGAGCAUUUAUAAAGAUGUAUAUUAUUUAUAUUCUACCUGUUUCAAAAGGGCAUUCUUUGUUUCAUCCCAGCAUAACCAACAGUAAUGCUUGCAAAUUACAGCCUAAACUAAUCUUCAGUGCACAGUAAUAGGACUGAAGCAGUCUUGAGCUUACAGACACACGUAUUUGCAUAUUUCAACUACUGCUCCUAUCAACACUGAAAGCAUCUGUCUAAAAUAAUAUAUUUCGUUUUAAGAUUUGCUAUCCUUUUAUAAUUAUUCAUUAUACUGUACACAUGAGUAUCAAAGCAUUUUGUUACUCUCAUCUUUAAUCUCGCAAAAAUAUAAUAUGUAAUUAGCACGUUAAAGAAAUGAUAUCAUUAAAUAUCUAUUAUACGGCCUCAAUCCUGUUUUGCAUUAAACAGUGCCUGACACUGAACGCUAACCUAAAUGUCUUACGGACUUGGAUUAAAAACCCAUAACUAUUGCAAGGGCAAUACAUUUUAUUUAGCAUUUAUAUAUCUGGGUGAGGAAAGUAAUUGUAACUAAGGACCCUGAAUUAUAAAAACCAGAAACACAAAAUAUUUUAAGCUAAUCUGAAAUCUGAUAUAGAUAAAAGAUUUCAUAGGCUGAGUUCAGGUCCCAAAAUGCAGUCCUGAACAACAAACAGGUACAAUAUCAGUAUCUCUAUCGAUCACUCAAUUAGUCAAGCUGUAAUAUUAGUUAGUUAGACAAAGUACUCUAAAUGGUCAACAAAACAGAUAUUUAAGUAGUAUUAAUACAAUUUAAAGAAGAUGUAAUAACUUUCUUUUCAUUGUCUAAGAAACCCAUUAAGAAAGUUAAUAUAUUCUGAUAAUUAAUUCUGACUGGACAUAAUGACAGCUGUCCAAAUUUUCUAUUUAUGCUCAGGAAAGAUAGAAAGAUUUUAUUGGUUGUGUGCUGAGAAAAUUACCAACAUUUUGCAGGUACAUGGGAAAAUAUUGAACAAUUAAGCACUGCACAUAUUCAUGUAAAUUAAUUGGAAAUUCAUGAUCUUUUGGUUAGGUGAUGUCUAUUAUAUGAUGCCAUAAAAUAAGUUUUACUUUUAGCAAUAAAAUAAAACUAUUCAUAUGUUUAUACUUCUAAUUUCUUAAAUAUAUAUUUAUAUGUUCUUGACAUGAUCUUUUUUGUACAUUUCCCCCCCAAAAAAUUAUAAAAUAUGUUUAGGUGAUCAAGCUCUGUAAAAUCAAUGAAUGGCAAUGGAUUUAAGUACAUUAAACAAAUAUUAUCUUGGCCAUUUUAUACCAGUUAAGGUAAUGGUUGUCAAAUUAAUCUUAAAAGAGAAUCACACAAUGAUAUUUAUCAAGCUGUAGAUGAGUCAAAAAUCUCAAGUAUUUCAGUUGACUCAUGUUGAGAAGAAUAAUAGCUAUUAGAUUGUGACCUUGUUAACACUCUUUUUUUUUUUUUUUACUUUUAAAUUGAUCAGCAAAAUAUCUAACAGUUGAACAGAUGAUUAGAUACUUGUAUUGAUACAUGUAAAUGUGGUUAGACCCAGUCAUACGUGUGUUCUAUCAUUAUAGAAAAGGCAGCUACAUCAAUUAAUAUUCUUCUUUUAAAUGUAGUAAUUUCAAUAACAACAAAUACAAGACUUUUAAUAACAUAAUUAUGGACUGUUAAUAGCUUAUAGUGAAGGUCUGAUAAUGUCUUUAUAUGUAGUUGAGUCUAGAGGAAUGCAUGGCUGUGGCUGGGACUACUAUGAAUGGCUGAUUUGAAAAUAAUUAUUUACUAUGCGUGCAUUUCUUUUUAUAAUGUUAAAUCAUAUUUAAUUGAACAUCUCCAUUUUUACUCCUAACUUUGGGGGCAAUGACUGGAUAAGAACACCAAGGUCAGAAAAGUGUGGUUUUAGACUGUCAAUUCUACUCAAAGUUGGAUGGGCUAAUGAGGAGGUUAAUUUCCAGGUUAACUAAGAGGAAGGCCAAGGGAUAAGCUGUAAAUGGUGUUUGAAAACAGUUUGGACAGGACAUUCAGAAGGUUUGCACCACGACAACUACAUUGAACAUGGUGGUUAUGGUGAAUAUAGUGUGCCUAACAUUCUAUUUAGGAGCAAGCAAAUGAGAUUGGUCUUCCUAGCACUGCACUUGUUUUAAAAAUAACUGUUACCUUACUUAUAUUGAAGAUAAUAAUUGUGAUUAAAUAUUGCACUAAUUGGUAAAAUACAUAAAAGUGCAUUGAUUAGCAGACUGCCAGUUUUAGCAGGAAGAAACCAAAACACUUCACUGACAUGAAAAAUGCCCUUUAGUUUGCUCGUUUGAAAACUACAAUAUAUAUGUCUAAAUACACCACCCUGUGCAAACAAAUCAUUAUCCUAUCAUAUGUAACCCUCAACACUCAAUCUACACAUACAGUCACACACAAGCAGUCUGUACAUAUUAUAGAGCAGGGGUGACCAACAGCUGUUGUGGGGCUACAGAAUAAAGUAUGUGUUCCAUACUUCCACAAUUCAUGUAGGUUAGACAAUUAGACCAAAUGCAAAAAGGCUGGCAAAAUAUCAAGGCAUUUAACAUCCUACAAUAACUGGAGAGAUACUUAUUGGGCACCCCUGGCAUGAUGGCAUAAAAUCCAACCUCUCAUCUCUAUAUACAUAAAACUUGCAACAACUGAAAAACACUUGCAAUUUUGCCUUCGUUUAACCACUCUCACUACAUUUCAAUAACUUUAUUAUUCCUUUAAAAUAAUCAGAAUCUAGUAUCCUAGUUAUAAAUUAAGGAACAGAAAACCGCAUCCAUCUAAUCUCAGUAAAUGACAAUUGAAUCUUGUUUUAUACAUAUAUAUUCACGCUAUUGCCUUUUCAGUGUUUUGGGCAUUUAUAAUUAUCAAUGCAGUAUAGAGAAAAUUAAUGUAUGGAUAGAUAAUCAUAUUGAUACUCAUUUACUCAGUAGAAAGUGAAUUUGGGGGCUGCAGAGAUGAAGACAUUUUUCAUCUGAGCUGUAUACCCAGCUUGGAUAUUUUUGUGAAUUUGAAUUUCAGUUUCCAAAAUCCACCAUUUUGUUAAUUAACCCAUUAGCAUAACACAUAUAAUAUUGAUGUGGUUUCCCUUUAUUUCUCCUAGAAAAACUUAAAUGCUUUAAAUUUUAACCUGGAAUGAUGAGUUAGCGGCUGACCAGACGAUGCAAAAUGCUUGCAUGAAAAUACAUGCUUUGGAAAAUAGCUUUCGUUGCUGCCAUAUAUAGUGAUAUUAAUCAUAUACUGUAUGUCCUUCAUUAACCCUUUUGAAUGCUGGAGAAGCAAGAAAUAUAAAUAACGGUACUUUCAGUCACAGGAUCAUGUAACAAUAAUUUUAUAUUGGGAUGUAGUGUACCCACAUUAGUACACUUGGCAUUCACUCAUUUAACAAUUUAUUAGACUGUGCAUACAGUGUUACUGUGGUUAGAUACUGAAUGUCCAUUGUGUUGAUACCCAUACCUCUGCUCUUGGUUUAACAGCUGGGCUAAGGAGAAAUAAUUCAAUGUCAGAAAGGGAAGUUACUAUUUCCUGACCUUUUUUAAAGGGUGUCCUUACCUACUUCAAGGCCAGAAACAACCUAAUUUCUGCUUGGUACUGAACCUUUUACCGAGGCCAUUGGAGGUGAUUUUUAGGUGUAGAAAAUAAAAAAAGAUUCCAGGUUUGAUAAUAUCUCAAACAAGGUAACUGAUCAGUGCCCUAGAGCACUGUCACAUACUUAUGAACAUCUGCCAUCACUUUGUGUACCAAAAAUAACCUUUCCAGUUCAGUCAAAGCCAAACCAUGCCAUACACAUCCCUUUCAACUUGCUGAACUCUUUGUACCUCCAUAAACAUAUGUAAUGUAAACAUUACUCCCAUUUGAUUUCAAUAAUAAAAAACAAUUUGUCGAUUGACAUUUUUGUCUUAUUCGUUAACAAAAGUGCAAGUCAAUCCUUGACUUUUUGUUUGUGCAAAACUUCAAGUAAUUUAAUGUCAUUUAGCUUACAAAUCUCUGCGAUGUCUGUCAAUGCACUUUCUGUAUCCUUCUAUUCAAGUUUACAGUUAAGAAGUUAAUGAAAUGAAAUGUGUGACUAACAUUUCUAGAAGCUGGACUAGCAUCAUCAGUUUUGUUACCUCCAGCAGUCAAAUAGUUAAAUAAUAUUUCAACCAAAGCGGCAGAGGUGCAAUUCUAUUUCUGAUAGUUAGGAUCUGUACAUUCCAAAUGCAUAUAUGAGCUUGAUUUUUUUCAUUUUUGCUUUUUUUUUUUUUUUAAUAAUACUUACAAGUUUGGUUCAGUUUUGUUUUGUUGGCCACUAAAUUUAUGUAUUGUAUCCCACUUACUUCUUUACAAUUGUUUUCCAACAGUAAAAAUCCCACGUAACACACAGGUCACUUGACAACGAACCUUCACUUAAAAUUAAUGGAAAAAAAGAAUCAAAGUUGUUCAGUUGGACUUUUUAUACAAAUAGACUGAUUUAUAACAUAAUUUUUAAUGUUUUGCUUAUUUUCAGUUUUUUUGUUUGUUUUUUAUUGAGAGUCACGUAACAAUGUAACAAGCAAUAAUGGAUUAGUGUAUUUAAAUAAUAUAAGGUACACUAAAUCUCUAAAACUAGCAUAAAAACAAUCUCCCCAAUUGCAUUUCCUGUGAACUUCAAUAACUAGUGUUAUGUAUGUGUAUGUGUAUACUUGAUUUGAGUUUCUCUUAGGGACACUCAGCCAGUUAAACACUGAGUAAUCUGCAUGCCUAUCUUACUAUGAAGAAUGAGGCAGCUGGCUAGGGAGUCAAUGUGCAGGGGCCAACCUGGUAAUGUUCACAGUGAAAAUGCCAUGAGACAACCCAGAUAAUGACUGUCUAGAUUUUCCUUUAUUGAAUAUAAUGGAUCAAUAAAAGCAGUUUUAUGUAAUAAUGUGUCUAUUUGUUAAUGAAUAGAAAGGUCUCACACAGUCUGGUUGGGUAUGAUUUGAUGAAUACUAAAUAUUUGUUGGUUCUGCUAUCAAUAUCAAGCAAGUGCUAUACUUGACCUUUUUAUAUUAACAUUGAGCUAUUGUGUAAUUUGUCUUGUUCUUCAAGGAAAAUAUUUUCAUUUUCAUUUCUAUUGCCACUAGCAUGCAAGAUACAUAUUUUCAUUAUGAAUUUUUGAAAACAUGUUUUAUUUUUUCAUGGUAUUUAAUAUUUGUGCUCUUCCAAAUUCUGUUAUAUUUUCAUUUUCAUGGCACUUCAACCAGUCUACUUUCCAAUUGACAAACCUUUUAAAAGUUCCUUUUUUACAGAAAUAUUCCAUGAAAUCUUCUGUGAGUACUCCACUGGGAACUGUGGGGACUGGCUACAUGCAAGUUCUGUACAAUUGUUAUAGUCUAUCAGUAGCAGAACAUCAAACUAUAACCAAGGAAGAUUUCCUUCUAAUCACACAUUGAUAUAUAUGUAUAUAUAUAUAUAUAUAUAUAUAUAUAUAUCUAUAUCUCACACACACACACACACACACGCAUGCACAUCUUAUGUAUUGUGGCCUUGGAGCUUCCAAUAUAUUACUGAUUAAACAUGUCUCACAAUGUUAAUUAAAUAUUUUAGACCUGGCUCACAAUGACAUCCUUUCCAGUUGCCAGUAUUCCUCUCUCUUGUGUUACUUUUAUGUAAAUACUUUGCCCAACUGCCCAAAGGAAACUCACAUUGUGAAAAAAAUGAAAAUAAAAUAAAAAUUACAGUACUUCCAAGAUUAAUUAUACAUAAUAAAACCUUAAAAAAGUAUGUUUUGAUUUCUAAAAAUGUACAAAAACAAAUUUGAGGCUCUUAAUUAUUAUCUUUGUUAAUAAUGGACAUGUAUUACUGUGACUCAGAAUAAGAAGAUGGUAUUCACAGAAUACAAUUACCUUUUCACCUCUGUUUUCCUCUUAACCAAUCAGUGCUGCAACAUAUUGUUUAGCAGAAGGAGAGUUAAACUCUCAAGAAAUUCUAAUGCCUUAUACUCAAUGGAUGCAUAUCCACAUUUAGUCUAAUAUUCAUAUUUACAAUUUUAUCAAAAAUAUUAUAUUUACAGUUUUUUUAACUGUGAAAGUUCACGUUGUCUUUUUUCAUGUACAAAAAUACCUAUUUUAUGCUCUUUUUUUUUCUCCUUUUCCUAAUCUGCUUGGUUCCCAGGGAAGCACUUCAGCAAAGUAAUAUUAAACUGUUUUUACAAUACCAACUUUGUUUCUAUAGCAUUGUUAUUCUUUUUAUGUAACCCAAUGGCACCUUAAGAUUGAUUUGACUAAAUAAUUGAUAUAAGGAAUUAAGGUAAAAAAGUAGUUUAGUAAACACAGAUGAUGCAAUUCUUCCUUAGGACUGCUAAAAUGACAAAUAAUUGCACUAAUAUAUUCUCAGUUCAUUGUGUUCUACCAAUGCUAGGUUAACAUUUCAGCCCCCUAAUUAUUAUUAUUAGUAUUUUUUUUAAUUUUUAUUCUUUUAA
Molecule: long non-coding RNA, 10776 nt
Filed under: Pelobates cultripes (western spadefoot toad)
Lineage: Eukaryota; Metazoa; Chordata; Amphibia; Anura; Pelobatidae
Source: RNAcentral